RNAcentral lists this transfer RNA (77 nucleotides) under Neotoma lepida (desert woodrat). It matches the Rfam family "tRNA". From Rfam's summary of the family: Transfer RNA (tRNA) molecules are approximately 80 nucleotides in length. Their secondary structure includes four short double-helical elements and three loops (D, anti-codon, and T loops). Further hydrogen bonds mediate the characteristic L-shaped molecular structure. tRNAs have two regions of fundamental functional importance: the anti-codon, which is responsible for specific mRNA codon recognition, and the 3' end, to which the tRNAs corresponding amino acid is attached (by aminoacyl-tRNA synthetases). tRNAs cope with the degeneracy of the genetic code in two manners: having more than one tRNA (with a specific anti-codon) for a particular amino acid; and 'wobble' base-pairing, i.e. permitting non-standard base-pairing at the 3rd anti-codon position. The record is from Rfam by way of RNAcentral. Lineage: Eukaryota; Metazoa; Chordata; Mammalia; Rodentia; Cricetidae.
GGAGAGAAGGCUCAAUGGGUAAGAGCACUGGCUGCUCUUCCAGAGGAAGGACCUGGGUUUGAUUCCCAGUAUCCUCA